Ochotona princeps (American pika) is the source of this 556-nucleotide non-coding RNA. The record is from the annotation of a RefSeq genome assembly. Lineage: Eukaryota; Metazoa; Chordata; Mammalia; Lagomorpha; Ochotonidae.
CCCUUACUCGGCUCAAGAAAACCAGUCUCACCAGCAGCUCUGGCACAGGAGCCCCAGGCCAGGGACUCCCAGCUGUCCCACUCAGCGAUCGCACUCCACACAGACACUCACCAUGGAGACUGCUCUGAGAUGGCUUCUCCUGGUCACUGUGCUCCAAGGUGUCCAGUGUCAGGAGCAGCUGGAGGAGUCCGGUGGAGGUUUGGUCCAGCCUGAGGCAACACUGACACUCACCUGCAAAGCCUCUGGAUUCACCAUCAGUAGCUACAGCAUGUACUGGAUCCGCCAGGCUCCCAGCAAAGGGCUUGAGUGACUUGCAUUCAUUAGUUAUGAUGGUAGUAGCACAUACUAUGCGUCCUCCGUGAAGGGCCGAUUCACCAUCUCCAGCAGCAGCGCUACCAGCACGGUGUCCCUGCAAAUGACCGCUCUGACAGCCCAGGACACGGCCAUCUAUUACUGUGCCAGAGACACAGUGCAGGGAUCUCAGUGUGAGCCCAGACACAAACCUGCCUGCAGGGGCGCGCUGCCCCACCAGGGGGCGCAGUGCUGUCUGAGCUGA